GGCCGGGAACUCAAAGGAGACUGCCAGUGAUAAACUGGAGGAAGGUGGGGAUGACGUCAAGUCAUCAUGGCCCUUACGACCAGGGCUACACACGUGCUACAAUGGCGCAUACAAAGAGAAGCGACCUCGCGAGAGCAAGCGGACCUCAUAAAGUGCGUCGUAGUCCGGAUUGGAGUCUGCAACUCGACUCCAUGAAGUCGGAAUCGCUAGUAAUCGUGGAUCAGAAUGCCACGGUGAAUACGUUCCCGGGCCUUGUACACACCGCCCGUCACACCAUGGGAGUGGGUUGCAAAAGAAGUAGGUAGCUUAACCUUCGGGAGGGCGCUUACCACUUUGUGAUUCAUGACUGGGGUGAAGUCGUAACAAGGUAACCGUAGGGGAACCUGCGGUUGGAUCACCUCCUUACCUGAAAGAA
RNAcentral lists this ribosomal RNA (415 nucleotides) under Salmonella enterica subsp. enterica serovar Give. Its description in RNAcentral is "bacterial SSU rRNA". It matches the Rfam family "Bacterial small subunit ribosomal RNA", at positions 1129 to 1533 of the family's 1533-position model. RNAcentral also lists the same sequence under 1 other name. The record is from RNAcentral. Lineage: Bacteria; Pseudomonadati; Pseudomonadota; Gammaproteobacteria; Enterobacterales; Enterobacteriaceae.